RNAcentral lists this long non-coding RNA (262 nucleotides) under Hordeum vulgare. RNAcentral's name for it is "long non-coding RNA (HVUL_LNC009274)". Lineage: Eukaryota; Viridiplantae; Streptophyta; Magnoliopsida; Poales; Poaceae. The record is from RNAcentral.
UUUUUAUUUUUUUUAAAUUAGAUAGGUUAGUUAGUUAGGUUAGUUUAUUAGGUUAGUUAGUUAGGUUAGAAGAAAAAAGUAGAAAAGAAGAAGGAAAAUAAUGAAAAAAGGAAAAAAUGAAAAAGGGAAAAGGAAAAAGAAGAGGGAGAAGAAGGAAAACAAGAAGGAAAAGAAAAAGGAGAAGAAGAAGAAGAAGAAGAGGUGGAGGAGGAGGAGAAGAAAAAAGAUGAUGACGAUGAAGAAGAAGAAGAAGAAAAGGAGG